GAUGAACGCUGGCGGCGUGCCUAAUACAUGCGAGUCGAGCGAACGGACGAGAAGCUUGCUUCUCUGAUGUUAGCGGCGGACGGGUGAGUAACACGUGGAUCACCUACCUAUCAGUCUGGGAUAACUUCGGGAAACCGUAGCUUAUCCCGGAUAAUAUUUUGAACCGCAUGGUUCAAAAGUGAAAGACGGUCUUGCUGUCACUUCUAGAUGGAUCCGGGCUGCAUUAGCUAGUUGGUAAGGUAACGGCCUAUGAAGGCAACGAUGCAUAGCCGACCUGAGAGGGGGAUAGGCCACAUUGGAAGUGAGACACGGACCAGACGCCUACGGGAGGCAGCAGUAGGGUACCGUACGCAGUGGUCGAGAGCCUUACGGAGCAAGCGGGAGUGAGUUAUGACGGUGUCCGGAGCGUAAAACUCGGUUAUGAGGGAAGAACAGAUGUGGAAGGAAAUGAGGAGAGCGUGACGGUAACGAAUAAGAAAGCAACGGCUAACUACGUG
Molecule: ribosomal RNA, 497 nt
Filed under: uncultured bacterium
Lineage: Bacteria
Description: partial 16S ribosomal RNA
Rfam family: Bacterial small subunit ribosomal RNA
Source: RNAcentral